UACCAAACCACUUCACCGUGAGAUAAAAGUAGAUUAAAAUACCACCACAAACAUUAUUCAAAAAUCACAUUUUUUAUUUUCUUACAAGAAUUCAGUUAAUAAAACAUCUAAUCCCAAAGUGAUUGGAAAGCAACACUUCACAAAACAAGACCAAAGUACACACCUUACAAAUUAUCUAAGCAAUACCAGUAAUAAACAAGGUUAUCAUUUUGUGCAAAAUUAUAUUAAAUUUGGCUCCAUGCUCCCGAGUGGUGUGACGUGGUUUAAAGUGACUGCGCUGCAUGCCAAUAAGAAGUCAGUAGUGGUUUCUAAGAUAGCUGCGCCGCCUUGUGGUACAUCGUGGUAUUACAUGAAUGCUGCGCCACCCUGUGGUACAUCGUAGUAUUACAUCUAACCUACCAGUGGGCAUUUCUCCAUUCCACUCAGUCAGUCAGUAAUCUCACAUUCCUUCUGUAUAAGUGGAUACUCACACAGUACACAAUACAAAUCGACGUAUGAAAAUAGUGUGCGACCAGUGUCAUCUACCUAUGAAAACAAUCCUACCAUUUAAAAAGAAGUGUGUUAUAUCAAAAACAUAGGAUACCAUAGUGCAUCAGAUUGUACAAGAUUUGCAUCCAUCAUUGUGUUCGUCCAGAACUCUCUGCCAGAAGCAAAGGAAUUACCCCACAGUAUACAGCACAGUGAAAAACACAUGUUUAAAGUCAGUCAGACAUUUAGAUUGGAGUUGGUGAUUAGAAACAAGCAGUCCACAGACGUCAUCAUAUGGCUAUAGAUGGUUAAACAUGCAGAAGAGAAAGGCAAGUCUUAUUGUACCUAACACACUGUGCAGUUGUUCCUCUUUAAAAGGUCUCAGUCAGUUGUUCCUCUUUAAAAGGUCUCAGUCAGUUGUUCCUCUUUAAAAGGUCUCAGUCAGUUGUUCCUCUUUAAAAGGUCUCAGUCAGUUGCUCCUCUUUAAAAGGUCUCAGUCAGUUGUUCCUCUUUAAAAGGUCUCAGUCAGUUGCUCCUCUUUAAAAGGUCUCAGUCAGUUGUUCCUCUUUAAAAGGUCUCAGUCAGUUGUUCCUCUUUAAAGAUCUCGGUCAGUUGCUCCUCUUUAAAAGGUCUCAGUCAGUUGCUCCUCUUUAAAAGGUCUCAGUCAGCUGUUCCUCUUUAAAAGGUCUCAGUCAGUUGUUCCUCUUUAAAAGGUCUCAGUCAGUUGUUCCUCUUUAAAAGGUCUCAGUCAGUUGUUCCUCUUUAAAAGGUCUCAGUCAGUUGUUCCUCUUUAAAAGGUCUCAGUCAGUUGUUCCUCUUUAAAAGGUCUCAGUCAGUUGCUCCUCUUUAAAAGGUCUCAGUCAGUUGUUCCUCUUUAAAAGGUCUCAGUCAGUUGCUCCUCUUUAAAAGGUCUCAGUCAGUUGUUCCUCUUUAAAAGGUCUCAGUCAGUUGCUCCUCUUUAAAGAUCUCGGUCAGUUGCUCCUCUUUAAAGGUCUCAGUCAGUUGCUCCUCUUUAAAAGGUCUCAGUCAGUUGUUCCUCUUUAAAAGGUCUCAGUCAGUUGUUCCUCUUUAAAAGGUCUCAGUCAGUUGUUCCUCUUUAAAAGGUCUCAGUCAGUUGCUCCUCUUUAAAAGGUCUCAGUCAGUACACUUAUCAGUGGUGGCUGGUGCCACCUUGAAUCUGAGGAGGGACUCAUAGUAAUGGCUGGAAUGAAUAGACAGGCAUCAAACACAUCUAGACUUGGUUUCUUCCCAGUGUUUGACUCCGUUCCAUCUAUUCCAUUCCAGCCAUUAUUAUGAGCCGUCCUCCCUUGACCAGCCUCCAAUGACUCUCUUGUACAUAGGGAGGCUAUCACUUUGUGUUUGCUGUUUGCUUAAAGGGAUAGUUCAUCCAAAUUACACUAUAACCUUUAAAUUCAGAGGGUUCCUGAGUUGUUGGAAUAGAGAUAUUGCUGCUUAAGGUUCUUUAUUCCUUAGCCCUCUGAUAUCUCUCUACUGUUCUAGAGCCCUCUGAUAGCUCUCUACUGUUCUAGAGCCCUCUGAUAUCCCGCUACUGUUCUAGAGUCCUCUGAUAUCUCGCUACAGUUCUAGAGCCCUCUGAUAUCUCGCUACUGUUCUAGAGCCCUCUGAUAUCUCGCUACUGUUCUAGAGCCCUCUGAUAUCUCGCUGCUGUUCUAGAGCCCUCUGAUAUCUCUCUACUGUUCUAGAGCCCUCUACUGUUCUAGAGCCCUCUGAUAUCUCACUACUGUUCUAGAGCCCUCUGAUAUCCCUCUACUGUUCUAGAGCCCUCUGAUAUCUCGCUACUGUUCUAGAGCCCUCUGAUAUCCCUCUACUGUUCUAGAGCCCUCUGAUAUCUCGCUACUGUUCUAGAGCCCUCUGAUAUCCCUCUACUGUUCUAGAGCCCUCUGAUAUCUCUCUACUGUUCUAGAGCCCUCUGAUAUCCCUCUACUGUUCUAGAGCCCUCUGAUAUCCCUCUACUGUUCUAGAGCCCUCUGAUAUCUCUCUACUGUUGUAGAGCCCUCUGAUAUCUCUCUACUGUUCUAGAGCCUUCUGAUAUCUUGCUACUGUUGUAGAGCCCUCUGAUAUCUCUCUACUGUUCUAGAGCCCUCUGAUAUCUCUCUACUGUUCUAGAGCCUUCUGAUAUCUCGCUACUGUUCUAGAGCCCCCUGAUGUCUCUCUACUGUUCUAGAGCCCUCUGAUAUCUCUCUACUGUUCUAGUGCCCUCUGAUGUCUCUCUACUGUUCUAGAGCCCUCUGAUAUCUCUCUACUGUUCUAGAGCCCUCUGAUAUCCUCUCUACUGUUCUAGAGCCCUCUGAUAUCCCUCUACUGUUCUAGAGCCCUCUGAUAUCUCUCUACUGUUGUAGAGCCCUCUGAUAUCUCUCUACUGUUCUAGAGCCUUCUGAUAUCUUGCUACUGUUGUAGAGCCCUCUGAUAUCCCUCUACUGUUCUAGAGCCCUCUGAUAUCUCUCUACUGUUGUAGAGCCCUCUGAUAUCGCUCUACUGUUCUAGAGCCUUCUGAUAUCUCGCUACUGUUCUAGAGCCCUCUGAUGUCUCUCUACUGUUCUAGUGCCCUCUGAUGUCUCUCUACUGUUCUAGAGCCCUCUGAUAUCUCUCUACUGUUCUAGAGCCCUCUGAUAUCUAUACUGUUCUAGAGCCAUCUGAUGUCCCUCUACUGUUAUAGAGCCCUCUGAUAUCUCUCUACUGUUGUAGAGCCCUCUGAUAUCUCUCUACUGUUGUAGAGCCCUCUGAUAUCUCUCUACUGUUCUAGAGCCCUCUGAUAUCUCUCUACUGUUCUAGAGCCUUCUGAUAUCUCUCUACUGUUCUAGAGCCCUCUGAUAUCUCUCUACUGUUCUAGAGCCCUCUGAUAUCUAUACUGUUCUAGAGCCAUCUGAUGUCCCUCUACUGUUCUAGAGCCCUCUGAUAUCUCUCUACUGUUGUAGAGCCCUCUGAUAUCUCUCUACUGUUCUAGAGCCCUCUGAUAUCCCUCUACUGUUCUAGAGCCAUCUGAUGUCUCUCUACUGUUCUAGAGCCCUCUGAUAUCUCUCUACUGUUCUAGAGCCCUCUGAUAUCCCUCUACUGUUCUAGAGCCAUCUGAUGUCCCUCUACUGUUCUAGAGCCCUCUGAUAUCUCUCUACUGUUCUAGAGCCCUCUGAUAUCUAUACUGUUCUAGAGCCAUCUGAUGUCCCUCUACUGUUCUAGAGCCCUCUGAUAUCUCUCUACUGUUCUAGAGCCCUCUGAUAUCUCUCUACUGUUCUAGAGCCCUCUGAUAUCUC
This is a long non-coding RNA of Oncorhynchus tshawytscha (Chinook salmon), 3737 nucleotides long. The record is from Ensembl. NCBI's taxonomy places the organism in Eukaryota, Metazoa, Chordata, Actinopteri, Salmoniformes, Salmonidae.